GCGACCCCAGGUCAGGCGAGAGCACCCGCUGAGUUUAA
Molecule: ribosomal RNA, 38 nt
Filed under: Cycas circinalis
Lineage: Eukaryota; Viridiplantae; Streptophyta; Cycadopsida; Cycadales; Cycadaceae
Description: partial 26S ribosomal RNA
Source: RNAcentral